CCUACGGGAGGCAGCAGUGAGGAAUAUUGGUCAAUGGACGAGAGUCUGAACCAGCCAAGUAGCGUGAAGGAUGACUGCCCUAUGGGUUGUAAACUUCUUUUAUAUGGGAAUAAAAUGUUCCACGUGUGGGAUUUUGUAUGUACCAUAUGAAUAAGGAUCGGCUAACUCCGUGCCAGCAGCCGCGGUAAUACGGAGGAUCCGAGCGUUAUCCGGAUUUAUUGGGUUUAAAGGGAGCGUAGGUGGAUUGUUAAGUCAGUUGUGAAAGUUUGCGGCUCAACCGUAAAAUUGCAGUUGAAACUGGCAGUCUUGAGUACAGUAGAGGUGGGCGGAAUUCGUGGUGUAGCGGUGAAAUGCUUAGAUAUCACGAAGAACUCCGAUUGCGAAGGCAGUUCACUGGACUGCAACUGACACUGAGUCUCGAAAGUGUGGGUAUCAAACAGGAUUAGAUACCCGAGUAGUC
This 460-nucleotide ribosomal RNA is filed under the name uncultured bacterium. Its description in RNAcentral is "partial 16S ribosomal RNA". It matches the Rfam family "Bacterial small subunit ribosomal RNA", at positions 338 to 795 of the family's 1533-position model. The record is from RNAcentral.